GAGUUUGAUCCUGGCUCAGAUUGAACGCUGGCGGAAUGCUUUACACAUGCAAGUCGAGCGGCAGCGCGGGGCAACCUGGCGGCGAGCGGCGAACGGGUGAGUAAUGCAUCGGAACAUGUCCAUUCGUGGGGGAUAGCCCGGCGAAAGCCGGAUUAAUACCGCAUACGCCCGAGAGGGGAAAGCCGGGGACCGCAAGGCCUGGCGCGAAUGGGUUGGCCGAUGCCCGAUUAGCUAGUUGGUGAGGUAAAGGCUCACCAAGGCGAUGAUCAGUAGCUGAUCUGAGAGGAUGAUCAGCCACACUGGGAUUGAGAACGGCCCAGACUCCUACGGGAGGCAGCAGUGAGGAAUUUUCCGCAAUGGGGGAAACCCUGACGGAGCAACGCCGCGUGCAGGAGGAAGGUCUACGGAUCGUAAACUGCUUUUACCGGGGAAGAGAACGGACGGUACCCGGUGAAUAAGCCCCGGCUAACUACGUGCCAGCAGCCGCGGUAAUACGUAGGGGGCGAGCGUUAUCCGGAAUUAUUGGGCGUAAAGGGCACGCAGGCGGUCCUGCACGUGGUGGGUGACAGCUUCUAGCUUAACUAGGAGAGUGCCUUCCAAACGACAGGACUUGAGAGCGAGAGAGGGAUACGGAACUCCAGGUGAAGCAGUGAAAUGCGUAGAUAUCUGGAAGAACACCAAAGGCGAAGGCAGUAUUCUGGCUCGUCUCUGACGCUCAGGUGCGAAAGCUAGGGGAGCAAACAGGAUUAGAUACCCUGGUAGUCCUAGCUGUAAACCAUGACCACUAGGCGUGGGAGGUAUCGACCCCUUCCGUGUCGUAGGUAACCUGUUAAGUGGUCCGCCUGGGGAGUACGGUCGCAAGACUAAAACUCAAAGGAAUUGACGGGGGCCCGCACAAGCGGUGGAGCAUGUGGUUCAAUUCGACGCAACGCGAAGAACCUUACCUGGGCUCGAAAUGUAGUGGAAUGGGGUGGAAACAUCCCCGUCCCGCAAGGGACUGCUAUAUAGGUGCUGCAUGGCUGUCGUCAGCUCGUGUCGUGAGAUGUUGGGUUAAGUCCCGCAACGAGCGCAACCCUUAUCGUUAGUUGCCACCGGGUCAAGCCGGGCACUCUAGCGAAACCGCCUCGGAUAACGGGGAGGAAGGUGGGGAUGACGUCAAGUCCUCAUGGCCUUUAUGUCCAGGGCUACACACGUGCUACAAUGGCCGGUACAAACCGUCGCAAACCCGCGAGGGGGAGCUAAUCGGAAAAAGCCGGCCUCAGUUCGGAUUGGAGUCUGCAACUCGACUCCAUGAAGCUGGAAUCGCUAGUAAUCGCAGAUCAGAACGCUGCGGUGAUACGUUCCCGGGCCUGCACACAC
This 1359-nucleotide ribosomal RNA is filed under the name uncultured bacterium. RNAcentral's name for it is "partial 16S ribosomal RNA". It matches the Rfam family "Bacterial small subunit ribosomal RNA". The record is from RNAcentral.